CCUACGGGAGGCUGCAGUGAGGAAUAUUGGUCAAUGGACGAGAGUCUGAACCAGCCAAGUAGCGUGAAGGAUGACUGCCCUAUGGGUUGUAAACUUCUUUUAUAUGGGAAUAAAAUGUUCCACGUGUGGGAUUUUGUAUGUACCAUAUGAAUAAGGAUCGGCCAACUCCGUGCCAGCAGCCGCGGUAAUACGGAGGAUCCGAGCGUUAUCCGGAUUUAUUGGGUUUAAAGGGAGCGUAGGUGGAUUGUUAAGUCAGUUGUGAAAGUUUGCGGCUCAACCGUAAAAUUGCAGUUGAAACUGGCAGUCUUGAGUACAGUAGAGGUGGGCGGAAUUCGUGGUGUAGCGGUGAAAUGCUUAGAUAUCACGAAGAACUCCGAUUGCGAAGGCAGUUCACUGGACUGCAACUGACACUGAGGCUCGAAAGUGUGGGUAUCAAACAGGAUUAGAUACCCGUGUAGUC
RNAcentral lists this ribosomal RNA (460 nucleotides) under uncultured bacterium. Its description in RNAcentral is "partial 16S ribosomal RNA". It matches the Rfam family "Bacterial small subunit ribosomal RNA", at positions 338 to 795 of the family's 1533-position model. The record is from RNAcentral.